This 289-nucleotide small RNA is filed under the name Otolemur garnettii (small-eared galago). RNAcentral's name for it is "7SK RNA (ENSOGAG00000022429.1)". Lineage: Eukaryota; Metazoa; Chordata; Mammalia; Primates; Galagidae. The record is from RNAcentral.
GGAUGCGAAGACCGUCUGGCUGUGGCACCGAUCAUCUCACUGAUUGUCAGGUGUGAUUCAGCUGGGGCUCGGCCUGGGUGCCUUCCUUCCUUGUGUCUCUUCCUUUCCUACACCUUCCCUAGGAGAUGUGACCUCAGUCAAAGCAAACAGCCUUUCCAACCAGAGGAAAGUGUGCUUCCCUCUACAGCACUAGUAGAAUUACCCCAACCAGGGUCAAACAGGCUCUCAAGGAGUAGUGAGGCAAUGUGACAAGCUGUGGGACUCAGCAAGAGGCUAUCUGCUCCUCCGU